AACGCACAUUGCGCCCCUUGGUAUUCCGAGGGGCAUGCCCGUUCGAGCGUCAUUAUAACCCCUCAAGCCUGGCUUGGUGUUGGGGCCUGCUGUUACCGGCAGCCCUUAAAAUCAGUGGCGGUGCCAUCUGGCUCUAAGCGUAGUAAUACUUCUCGCUACAGGGUCCCGGUGGAUGCUUGCCAUCAACCCCUAAUUUUCUAUGGUUGACCUCGGAUCGGGUAGGGAUACCCGCUGAACUUAA
RNAcentral lists this unclassified non-coding RNA (241 nucleotides) under uncultured fungus. Its description in RNAcentral is "sequence contains ITS2". Lineage: Eukaryota; Fungi. The record is from RNAcentral.